RNAcentral lists this ribosomal RNA (497 nucleotides) under uncultured bacterium. RNAcentral describes it as "partial 16S ribosomal RNA". It matches the Rfam family "Bacterial small subunit ribosomal RNA", at positions 28 to 507 of the family's 1533-position model. The record is from RNAcentral.
GAUGAACGCUGGCGGCGUGCCUAAUACAUGCAAGUCGAGCGAACAGACGAGGAGCUUGCUCCUCUGACGUUAGCGGCGGACGGGUGAGUAACCCGUGGAUAACCUACCUAUAAGACUGGGAUAACUUCGGGAAACCGGAGCUAAUACCGGAUAAUAUAUUGAACCGCAUGGUUCAAUAGUGAAAGACGGUUUUGCUGUCACUUAUAGAUGGAUCCGCGCCGCAUUAGCUAGUUGGUAAGGUAACGGCUUACCAAGGCAACGAUGCGUAGCCGACCUGAGAGGGUGAUCGGCCACACUGGAACUGAGACACGGUCCAGACUCCUACGGGAGGCAGCAGUAGGGAAUCUUCCGCAAUGGGCGAAAGCCUGACGGAGCAACGCCGCGUGAGUGAUGAAGGUCUUCGGAUCGUAAAACUCUGUUAUUAGGGAAGAACAAAUGUGUAAGUAACUAUGCACGUCUUGACGGUACCUAAUCAGGAAGCCACGGCUAACUACGUG